CUUAUCAAGAGAGGUUGAGGGACAGGGCCCUAUGACACCCGGCAACCGGCAAACAGUACGGUGCCAAUUCCCCCGCAAAUAUUUGUGGAAGAUGAGG
RNAcentral lists this non-coding RNA (97 nucleotides) under chicken gut metagenome. RNAcentral's name for it is "SAM riboswitch (S box leader)". It matches the Rfam family "SAM riboswitch aptamer (S box leader)". From Rfam's summary of the family: The SAM riboswitch is found upstream of a number of genes which code for proteins involved in methionine or cysteine biosynthesis in Gram-positive bacteria. The SAM riboswitch acts at the level of transcription termination control. The record is from RNAcentral.